AACGAACGCUGGCGGCAGGCCUAACACAUGCAAGUCGAGCGAGGACUUCGGUCCUAGCGGCGGACGGGUGAGUAACGCGUGGGAACGUGCCCUUUGCUUCGGAAUAGCCCUGGUAAACUGGGAGUAAUACCGGAUGAGCCCUUUGGGGGAAAGAUUUAUCGGCGAAGGAUCGGCCCGCGUUGGAUUAGGUAGUUGGUGGGGUAAUGGCCUACCAAGCCGACGAUCCAUAGCUGGUUUGAGAGGAUGAUCAGCCACACUGGGACUGAGACACGGCCCAGACUCCUACGGGAGGCAGCAGUGGGGAAUCUUAGACAAUGGGGGAAACCCUGAUCUAGCCAUGCCGCGUGAGCGAUGAAGGCCUUAGGGUUGUAAAGCUCUUUCAGCUGGGAAGAUAAUGACGGUACCAGCAGAAGAAGCCCCGGCUAACUCCGUG
Molecule: ribosomal RNA, 433 nt
Filed under: uncultured bacterium
Lineage: Bacteria
Description: partial 16S ribosomal RNA
Rfam family: Bacterial small subunit ribosomal RNA
Source: RNAcentral